GCCAGGUGCAGUGGUGCACGCCUGUAAUCCCAGCAGUUUGGGAGGCUGAGGCAGGAGGAUCUCAAGUUGAAAGUCAGCCUCAGCAAAAUCAAGAUGCUAAUAAGCAACUCAGUGAGACCCUGUCUCUA
This 128-nucleotide small RNA is filed under the name Marmota monax (woodchuck). Lineage: Eukaryota; Metazoa; Chordata; Mammalia; Rodentia; Sciuridae. The record is from RNAcentral.